This 510-nucleotide ribosomal RNA is filed under the name uncultured bacterium. Its description in RNAcentral is "bacterial SSU rRNA". It matches the Rfam family "Bacterial small subunit ribosomal RNA", at positions 28 to 584 of the family's 1533-position model. The record is from RNAcentral.
AGCGAACGCUGGCGGCAGGCCUAACACAUGCAAGUCGAACGGACCCUUCGGGGUUAGUGGCGGACGGGUGAGUAACACGUGGGAACGUGCCUUUAGGUUCGGAAUAGCUCCUGGAAACGGGUGGUAAUGCCGAAUGUGCCCUUCGGGGGAGAGAUUUAUCGCCUUUAGAGCGGCCCGCGUCUGAUUAGCUUGUUGGUGGGGUAAUGGCCCACCAAGGCUACGAUCGGUAGCUGGUCUGAGAGGAUGACCAGCCACAUUGGGACUGAGACACGGCCCAAACUCCUACGGGAGGCAGCAGUGGGGAAUCUUGCGCAAUGGGCGAAAGCCUGACGCAGCCAUGCCGCGUGUAUGAUGAAGGUCUUAGGAUUGUAAAAUACUUUCACCGGUGAAGAUAAUGACUGUAGCCGGAGAAGAAGCCCCGGCUAACUUCGUGCCAGCAGCCGCGGUAAUACGAAGGGGGCUAGCGUUGCUCGGAAUUACUGGGCGUAAAGGGAGCGUAGGCGGACAUUU